AUCCCAUGACGAGGAAACUUAUGAAGUAAUUCCUUGAAUCGCUCCCAAGCCUUAUAUAAAGACUCAUCAUCCAAUUGUUGGAAAGUUGUGAUCUCGUUCCUCAACUU
This is a small nucleolar RNA of Gossypium arboreum, 107 nucleotides long. It matches the Rfam family "Plant small nucleolar RNA R71". From Rfam's summary of the family: R71 is a member of the C/D box family of snoRNAs containing the C (UGAUGA) and D (CUGA) box motifs. Multiple nearly identical copies of this snoRNA have been identified in Arabidopsis, and it is thought to function as a 2'-O-ribose methylation guide for 18S ribosomal RNA. NCBI's taxonomy places the organism in Eukaryota, Viridiplantae, Streptophyta, Magnoliopsida, Malvales, Malvaceae. The record is from Rfam.